This 445-nucleotide ribosomal RNA is filed under the name uncultured bacterium. RNAcentral describes it as "bacterial SSU rRNA". It matches the Rfam family "Bacterial small subunit ribosomal RNA", at positions 958 to 1399 of the family's 1533-position model. The record is from RNAcentral.
AACGCGAAGAACCUUACCAGUCCUUGACAUGUCCAGUAUGGAUUCGGGAGACCGAGUCCUUCAGUUCGGCUGGCUGGAACACAGGUGCUGCAUGGCUGUCGUCAGCUCGUGUCGUGAGAUGUUGGGUUAAGUCCCGCAACGAGCGCAACCCUCAUCUUCAGUUGCCACCAGGUAAGGCUGGGCACUCUGAAGAAACCGCCGGUGACAAGCCGGAGGAAGGCGGGGAUGACGUCAAGUCCUCAUGGCCCUUACGGACUGGGCUACACACGUACUACAAUGGUGGUGACAGUGGGCCGCGAAGGAGCAAUCUGGAGCCAAUCCCCAAAAGCCAUCUCAGUUCGGAUUGCACUCUGCAACUCGAGUGCAUGAAGUUGGAAUCGCUAGUAAUCGCAGAUCAGCACGCUGCGGUGAAUACGUUCCCGGGCCUUGUACACACCGCUCGCGA